RNAcentral lists this unclassified non-coding RNA (319 nucleotides) under uncultured Talaromyces. RNAcentral's name for it is "sequence contains ITS1". The stretch from base 1 to 105 matches the Rfam family "5.8S ribosomal RNA", at positions 50 to 154 of the family's 154-position model. Lineage: Eukaryota; Fungi; Ascomycota; Eurotiomycetes; Eurotiales; Trichocomaceae. The record is from RNAcentral.
GAAAUGCGAUAAGUAAUGUGAAUUGCAGAAUUCCGUGAAUCAUCGAAUCUUUGAACGCACAUUGCGCCCCCUGGCAUUCCGGGGGGCAUGCCUGUCCGAGCGUCAUUUCUGCCCUCCAGCACGGCUGGGUGAUGGGUGCUGUCCCCCCGGGGACACGCCCCAAAAGCAGUGGCGGCGCCGCGUCGGGUCCUCGAGCGUAUGGGGCUCUGUCACCCGCUCGGGAGGGACUCGGUCGGUGCUGGUCUUCCCCCAGGCGGCCCUUUGGGGCUCGUCUCUUCCGGUUGACCUCGGAUCAGGUAGGGCUACCCGCUGAACUUAA